GGAAGGGUGGCUGAGUGGUUGAAGGCACUCGACUCGAAAUCGAGCGGGCUCAAAAGGCCUCGUGGGUUCGAAUCCCACCCCUUCCG
Molecule: transfer RNA, 86 nt
Filed under: Chthoniobacterales bacterium
Lineage: Bacteria; Pseudomonadati; Verrucomicrobiota; Spartobacteria; Chthoniobacterales
Description: tRNA-Ser
Rfam family: tRNA
About the family: Transfer RNA (tRNA) molecules are approximately 80 nucleotides in length. Their secondary structure includes four short double-helical elements and three loops (D, anti-codon, and T loops).
Source: RNAcentral